RNAcentral lists this ribosomal RNA (524 nucleotides) under uncultured bacterium. RNAcentral describes it as "partial 16S ribosomal RNA". It matches the Rfam family "Bacterial small subunit ribosomal RNA", at positions 28 to 523 of the family's 1533-position model. The record is from RNAcentral.
GACGAACGCUGGCGGCGUGCCUAAUACAUGCAAGUCGAGCGCAGGAAACUGACGGAACUCUUCGGAGGGAAGGCAGUGGAAUGAGCGGCGGACGGGUGAGUAACACGUAAGGAACCUGCCUCAAGGAUUGGGAUAACUCCGAGAAAUCGGAGCUAAUACCGGAUAGUUCAACGGACCGCAUGGUCCGGUGAUGAAAGGCGCUCCGGCGUCACCUUGAGCUGGCCUUGCGGUGCAUUAGCUAGUUGGUGGGGGAACGGCUCACCAAGGCGACGAUGCAUAGCCGACCUGAGAGGGUGAUCGGCCACACUGGGACUGAGACACGGCCCAGACUCCUACGGGAGGCAGCAGUAGGGAAUCUUCCACAAUGGACGAAAGUCUGAUGGAGCAACGCCGCGUGAGUGAUGAAGGUUUUCGGAUCGUAAAACUCUGUUGUAAGGGAAGAACACGUACGAGAGGAAAUGCUCGUACCUUGACGGUACCUUACGAGAAAGCCACGGCUAACUACGUGCCAGCAGCCGCGGUAA